UCCAUGAGCAGGAGAUGUUUACAGUACUUUGAGAAAAACUGAGUAACUUGCCUCCUUAGUGUAUUUACCUGUCUUAACUUUCUUUCUAUUUCCCAUUUCCCACUGUUUCUUACAUCUAAAAUCUGUCCUUUCAGUCUCUUUAUAAGACCCCUUUAGUAAAAAGAAAGUCAUCAAUAGAAGAAAGGAGUUAUAAUAGCGGGAAAACAGAGGGGGUUUUAGGAGAGGUUUCUUUAGAGGUGAGUGUGGCAAUAGAACUGAGAGAAACAGGAAUUUGGGACUCUUGAGCCAGAUCAGAUUUCAAUACAUCAUUGCCAAUUUGCCUCAUGGAGAGUUUGUUGUUAGUCACAAACACAAUGACUCCUGUGACCAGAGUAACAAUUGUAAACAUCAUGGCAAGAAAAAAUAAAACCUGAGGGUGCGAUGUGUUCCACCCUCCUUUUCCCCCAGCUGGAACUUUGUCAAGCAGCAUUGGAGGUCAGUCGGGCUUCUCCAGAAUUCACUUCUGAAGAAUUCAGCUCUUCUUUCUUCUGAAAGGAGGCUUACCAAUCAGAAUCAUGGGAAGGAAGUAACUUGGCAGACAUACUGAGCCAGAUUUCUGAGCAAAAAGAUUUUUCCUAAGGCUAGCUGACCUAACUGAAAAAGAGCCACCCCCAGCUCGAACCCCCUCCCACACCUAUGUCUUCCAUUGUCCUUUGUUCUCAGGAAGUGUCUGUAUCCAGUGUACUUUUCUAUCAAAUCAUGUAAACUAAAUGUAACUGCUCAACCAAUGAACUGAUGAUAAAUGCCUUGCUUAUGUAUCCCCACCCUCUUUCCCUUAGCCCAUAUAAACCCUGUUCACUGCCAGCUCAGGGCUGAUUGCUUUGUGGAGAAAUCCCCGAUCAGUCUGCUGGCGUAAUAAACUUGCCUCCAACCUGCGGUGCGGUUUUUUAUUCUUCUUGGCCUGAUCUUGCUCUACCACUAAGAGCUGCCACACUGCAAACUCUAAAUCUGCCAUUACGAUACUAAUCUCCAGGAGUUUAACGUCUCAAGCCCUAAUACACACCGCAGGCUUCUUUUCUGACAUAAAAACCUAGUUUUCCUCUCCAAAACUGUCAAGAGGAAAAAGCUUCAAGAUUAUAUCUAGAUCUAUGUAAACCACUAGAUUGCCUAUCUAGUAUUUCUCUUUUUCUGCAGAAAAUCACAGAAAGAAUAACACGAGGCAAGGUUUAGACAAGAAUCUGAUGACCGGCUCGUAGACAAAAUUGUGCAAUCCCAGUUCCUGAUUUACUUUACAGCACGUUCAUCCAGCACGGCCCCACCCGCCCAAUUCCCAGGAAAGGGUUGCAAAUAUUUUUCAGUACUGGGUACUGAACACUGGGGGUACGGAGGGGCAUCCCCAGCCCUUUUCCCUUGUUUGUUUGGUGUUUUGGGUUUUUUUGUACCGGGGAUCGAACUCGGGUUCUUCCGUUUGCGAGUAGGUGGCGAAACCACUGAGCUAAAUCCCUGGCCCUUUCCCUUCUUGUUUAGAGACAAGGUCUCCCUAAAUUGCUCAGGCAGAGCUUAGAUUUACGAUCCUCCCGCCUCAGCCUCCCAGACUGCUGAAAUUACAGGCAUCUUCCA
RNAcentral lists this long non-coding RNA (1599 nucleotides) under Heterocephalus glaber (naked mole-rat). RNAcentral's name for it is "lncRNA (ENSHGLG00100036808.1)". Lineage: Eukaryota; Metazoa; Chordata; Mammalia; Rodentia; Bathyergidae. The record is from RNAcentral.